RNAcentral lists this ribosomal RNA (446 nucleotides) under uncultured bacterium. Its description in RNAcentral is "bacterial SSU rRNA". It matches the Rfam family "Bacterial small subunit ribosomal RNA", at positions 339 to 796 of the family's 1533-position model. The record is from RNAcentral.
CUACGGGAGGCAGCAGUUGGGAAUAUUGGACAAUGGGGGAAACCCUGAUCCAGCAAUGCCGCGUGAAUGAUGAAGGCCUUAGGGUCGUAAAGUUCUUUUAGUGGGGAAGAAGGGUAACUUGACUGUACCCACAGAAAAAGCACCGGCUAACUCCGUGCCAGCAGCCGCGGUAAUACGGAGGGUGCAAGCGUUGUUCGGAAUUAUUGGGCGUAAAGCGCGUGUAGGCGGCUAUGAAAGUCUGGUGUGAAAGCCCGGGGCUUAACCCCGGAAGUGCACUGGAUACUCCAUAGCUAGAGGGUUAGAGAGGAAAGCGGAAUUCUUGGUGUAGGGGUGAAAUCCGUAGAUAUCAAGAGGAACACCGAUGGCGAAGGCAGCUUUCUGGAUAACAUCUGACGCUGAGACGCGAAAGCGUGGGGAGCAAACAGGAUUAGAAACCCUAGUAGUCC